CAGCGGCCCCGCCUCCAGCGCAUGCCCUACCACUACUACGAGCCCAAGGGGCCGGACGAAUGUGUCACCUACAUCCAGAAUGAGCACAGUCGCAAGGGCAACCACCACCGCUUCAUCACCGAGAAAAGGGUCUUCUCAUCGUGGGCCCAGCUGAAUAAACACACCUACGCUCCGGCUUCGUGUCCUGUGUCACCUGGGUCGAGCACAGCCUUCUGGUCCAGCGCUGCAUGCGGCCUCAGGACCACGUCUUCCGGUUGGGGGCUCCCAGUAAAGCGAUCCUCAGCUUCUUCAGCAGCCAGUGGCCAGUGAGAGCACUGACACGGCUCCCGGGACCUCGGCAGGAUGGAAGAGAAGCUGAAGAAAACCAAGAUCAUCUUUGUGGUGGGUGGGCCUGGCUCAGGGAAGGGCACCCAGUGUGAGAAGAUCGUGCAGAAGUAUGGCUACACCCACCUCUCCACCGGGGACCUCCUGCGGUCCGAGGUCAGCUCAGGCUCGGCCAGGGGCAAGAAGCUGUCGGAAAUCAUGGAGAAGGGGCAGCUGGUUCCACUGGAGACAGUGUUGGACAUGCUCCGGGAUGCCAUGGUGGCCAAAGUCAAUACUUCCAAAGGCUUCCUGAUUGAUGGCUACCCGCGGGAGGUGCAGCAAGGAGAAGAGUUUGAGCGACGGAUUGGACAGCCCACACUGCUGCUGUAUGUGGACGCAGGCCCUGAGACCAUGACCCAGCGGCUCUUGAAACGUGGAGAGACCAGCGGGCGUGUGGACGACAAUGAGGAGACCAUCAAAAAGCGGCUGGAGACCUAUUACAAGGCCACAGAACCUGUCAUCGCCUUCUAUGAGAAACGUGGCAUUGUGCGCAAGGUCAACGCUGAGGGCUCCGUGGACAGUGUCUUCUCCCAGGUCUGCACCCACCUGGACGCCCUAAAGUAGCAACGCUGGAGCCGCUUCCCCAGCUCAGAGCCCCGCCCCACCCCGUCCUGAUUCGAGGUCCUCCUGGCCUGAGCGCAGCGCCUCCACCCUGCCCUGCUGAGCACAGACGGAGGAAGCCGCUUAUCCUGUUUUCAUGGACAGCUG
This 1071-nucleotide long non-coding RNA is filed under the name Homo sapiens (human). RNAcentral's name for it is "non-protein coding lnc-ST6GALNAC6-1:7". The record is from RNAcentral. Lineage: Eukaryota; Metazoa; Chordata; Mammalia; Primates; Hominidae.